CGCACAGUAAACGAUGAAUACCAGCUGUUGGCGAUAGACAGUCAGCGGCGUAAGCGAAAGCGUUAAGUAUUCCACCUGGGGAGUACGCCGGCAACGGUGAAACUCAAAGGAAUUGACGGGGGCCCGCACAAGCGGAGGAACAUGUGGUUUAAUUCGAAGCAACGCGAAGAACCUUACCUGGACUUGACAUCCCCUGAAUGACUCGUAAUGGAGGAAGCCCUACGGGGCAGGGAGACAGGUGG
Molecule: ribosomal RNA, 242 nt
Filed under: uncultured bacterium
Lineage: Bacteria
Description: partial 16S ribosomal RNA
Rfam family: Bacterial small subunit ribosomal RNA
Source: RNAcentral